UGGGGAAUAUUGCACAAUGGGCGAAAGCCUGAUGCAGCAACGCCGCGUGAGUGAUGAAGGUCUUCGGAUUGUAAAGCUCUGUCUUUUGGGACGAUAAUGACGGUACCAAAGGAGGAAGCCACGGCUAACUACGUGCCAGCAGCCGCGGUAAUACGUAGGUGGCGAGCGUUGUCCGGAUUUACUGGGGCGUAAAGGGUGCGUAGGCGGAUGUUUAAGUGAGAUGUGAAAUACCCGGGCUUAACUUGGGUGCUGCAUUUCAAACUGGAUAUCUAGAGUGCAGGAGAGGAGAAUGGAAUUCCUAGUGUAGCGGUGAAAUGCGUAGAGAUUAGGAAGAACACCAGUGGCGAAGGCGAUUCUCUGGACUGUAACUGACGCUGAGGCACGAAAGCGUGGGUAGCAAACAGGAUUAGAUACCCUGGUAGUCCACGCCGUAAACGAUGAGUACUAGGUGUAGGAGGUAUCGACCCCUUCUGUGCCGCAGUAAACACAUUAAGUACUCCG
This 501-nucleotide ribosomal RNA is filed under the name uncultured bacterium. RNAcentral describes it as "partial 16S ribosomal RNA". It matches the Rfam family "Bacterial small subunit ribosomal RNA", at positions 355 to 871 of the family's 1533-position model. The record is from RNAcentral.